This 1000-nucleotide ribosomal RNA is filed under the name uncultured Actinomycetes bacterium. RNAcentral's name for it is "bacterial SSU rRNA". It matches the Rfam family "Bacterial small subunit ribosomal RNA", at positions 260 to 1288 of the family's 1533-position model. The record is from RNAcentral. Lineage: Bacteria; Bacillati; Actinomycetota; Actinomycetes.
AAUGCUACCAGGCUCCGACGGUAAGCCCGCCUGAGAGGGUGGACGCCACAUGGACUGAGAUCGGCCAGACUCCUACGGGAGGCAGCAGUGGGGAAUAUGCACAAUGGCGCAAGCUGAUGCAGCGACGCGCGUGGGGGAUGACGACUCGGGUGUAAACCUCUUCGACAGGGACGAAGCUUUGUGACGGUACCUGUAUAAGAAGCACCGGCUAACUACGUGCCAGCAGCCGCGGUAAUACGUAGGGUGCGAGCGUGUCCGGAAUUACUGGGCGUAAAGAGCUCGUAGGUGGUUUGUCGCGUCGUCUGUGAAAUUCCGGGGCUUAACUUCGGGCGUGCAGGCGAUACGGGCAUAACUUGAGUGCUGUAGGGGAGACUGGAAUUCCUGGUGUAGCGGUGGAAUGCGCAGAUAUCAGGAGGAACACCGAUGGCGAAGGCAGGUCUCUGGGCAGUAACUGACGCUGAGGAGCGAAAGCAUGGGGAGCGAACAGGAUUAGAUACCCUGGUAGUCCAUGCCGUAAACGGUGGGCGCUAGGUGUAGGGGUCUUCCACGACUUCUGUGCCGUAGCUAACGCAUUAAGCGCCCCGCCUGGGGAGUACGGCCGCAAGGCUAAAACUCAAAGGAAUUGACGGGGGCCCGCACAAGCGGCGGAGCAUGUGGAUUAAUUCGAUGCAACGCGAAGAACCUUACCUGGGCUUGACAUAUACAGGACUGGGCCAGAGAUGGUCUUUCCCUUUGUGGCUUGUAUACAGGUGGUGCAUGGUUGUCGUCAGCUCGUGUCGUGAGAUGUUGGGUUAAGUCCCGCAACGAGCGCAACCCUUGUCUUAUGUUGCCAGCGGUUUUGGCCGGGGACUCAUGAGAGACUGCCGGGGUUAACUCGGAGGAAGGUGGGGAUGACGUCAAAUCAUCAUGCCCCUUAUGUCCAGGGCUUCACACAUGCUACAAUGGUCGGUACAACGCGCUGCGAGCCUGUGAGGGUGAGCGAAUCGCUGAAAGCCGGCCU